CGCGUAGGCGGUUUGUUAAGUUGGAUGUGAAAGCCCCGGGCUCAACCUGGGAAUUGCACCCGAUACUGGCCGACUAGAGUACGAGAGAGGGAGGUAGAAUUCCACGUGUAGCGGUGAAAUGCGUAGAUAUGUGGAGGAAUACCGGUGGCGAAGGCGGCCUCCUGGCUCGAUACUGACGCUGAGGUGCGAAAGCGUGGGGAGCAAACA
RNAcentral lists this ribosomal RNA (207 nucleotides) under uncultured bacterium. RNAcentral describes it as "partial 16S ribosomal RNA". It matches the Rfam family "Bacterial small subunit ribosomal RNA", at positions 568 to 774 of the family's 1533-position model. The record is from RNAcentral.